This is a non-coding RNA of Endozoicomonas numazuensis, 179 nucleotides long. It matches the Rfam family "6S / SsrS RNA". Rfam says of the family: E. coli 6S RNA was the first non coding RNA to be sequenced, but its function was unknown until recently. It consists of 184 nucleotides that fold into an extended hairpin structure with a large single-stranded internal bulge. The 6S RNA specifically associates with RNA polymerase holoenzyme containing the sigma70 specificity factor. The record is from Rfam. Lineage: Bacteria; Pseudomonadati; Pseudomonadota; Gammaproteobacteria; Oceanospirillales; Endozoicomonadaceae.
GUCUCUCUGGUCUGUUUGCCAGUCAUUAAAGACCCGGGCUGAUAAUACCAAACUAGGAAGUUCCUCGUUGAUGCUGGAGCGCAAGUCCACCUUGCAGUGGAAAGCCCGAUUCAUCACAGCAACCUCCACCGUUGCUUAACAGCAACGGGCUUACGUGACAGCGGCAGUUUGGGGAGACU